CAGCAUGAAGAUACGCACAUAAGAGUGGAGAUUUUCCCUGAUGAAAGGAGUCGAGCGUUCAGCUUGAGUUCACUAGGGUCACUUCCGGAUGAUGACAGUAAACAUGGAUGGUGGUCUCCAAAAUGGACCCGGACAGCACAAGAACUCACAAGGUUUGUCAUUUUUUAGACUCGUUUUAUAUGCAUUAAUAUGUACUACUGAA
This 202-nucleotide long non-coding RNA is filed under the name Sinocyclocheilus anshuiensis. RNAcentral's name for it is "lncRNA (ENSSANG00000046930.1)". Lineage: Eukaryota; Metazoa; Chordata; Actinopteri; Cypriniformes; Cyprinidae. The record is from RNAcentral.